CCUUGUCACCAUGCUGGAGGGCUUCACGGGGGAACGGAUGUGAUGAUAGCAAAGGGGUUGAGCGAAACACUGGCAGGUGCCCACUUCCUGGCUCUACUUACUUCUUGCCAUUCGUCUGCCCUCCAAGCGUAGAGUGGACACGGCGGGGCUUGGCAGGCGCGCUCUGACUCCGGUCUAGUGUAUGGGUUGCACUCGGUCUCUCCGGCUAUUUUGUGUGUUCCCAGCUGACAGCCCACAUUUCUCCGCCGCACGCCUUGGCCACAGGACACAGAGCACUAAAAGGACAAGAAGGAGAAGCUCUCAUUUUCCCAGUCCAUUGGAAAGGAGGUGAAAAAGGCAUGUUAGAAACUGAAAGGGUUGUCCUGCAUCGGUUCUUUCCCUUAUACUGAGGGGCUGGGUCUCUCAGUCAACCGAGAAGCCAGCAAACAACCCCAGUGUGUCUGCCUGGAUGAGAAGGGGUGAAGACCUAGAAAGAAUGAGAUCCCCAGCAUUGCCGAGGCUGCUGAGAACCUGGACAUCCAAAUGGAGAUGGGAGGACCACACGGAAUUGCUCGUCUUGAUUCUACUCUCAUUUUGACUUUGUUUAAGAAAGGCAGACCUCAUCUGGAAAGUAUGAUAUCAGAAAGGAGGCAAUGCUCAUGCCGCCCAUGGUUCAGAACUGCCUUUGCCAGUUAUAAUGACAAGUGAAGUGAGUACUGCAUGAACAUCGCACAAUCAGAAAAGGUAAAGGGAUUCCAGCCUGUACCCACUGUUCCACCGGUGGGGCAAAAAAAAGAAUGUUGAGUGCAAAGAUACAGACUUAGGGAUCAAAGUUUCAAAUCUGCUCAGUGCAAGACCUGGAAAACCAUGUGGGCUCGUCACAUAGAAAAAAGAUAGUAGCUGCAAUCCACAUAUGUUUAGUACUGCUUUCCACACUGUAGGCACUGAGCAAGUAUUUAUGGGAAUGAAUGAAUACAUGAAAGCUAUAGCCAUCAUAGAAGUGUACUAUAAACCAAAUGUCAUGUUUUCCUAAAGGUUUCAAGAAAGAACCACCUGGAAUCUGACCCCCAGUGCUAAUGCUGAACUGAUUUGGCAGUUACUGAAAUUCAAAGAGGCCACCCCAAGAGCACUCUUUCAGUUGGAGCAGAGCUAUUAGAAAUCACACCAUGAGCGCUUACUGUGAGUGGGACCCUAAGCUGAAGGCUACUGGCUUCUCCUAUUUAAUCCCUACAGCAACCUUGUGGCUCAGGUACUAUUAGGCUUCCUCUUUACAAAUAAGGAGACUGAGGAUUAAAGAGGUGACCUCACUUGCCCAGGGUCACAGAGCCAGGAAGCAAGCAGAGUUAGCCUUCACAUAUAGCAUGUGUUUUUCCAGAACCGCCAUUUUCUUCCCUAAGUUAUACUGAAGAGAGGGCCUGGUUAAGAAAACAGGCUGCUGACCUCUGCUUACCCGUGGUGAUAACAGAAAACUAGGACUUUAAAGAAAUGUCCCUUAAGACUAUUUUAGAGACCUCUGUGACUCCUUUGUCUCCCAGGAAGAGGAUGGUUACACAAUCUAUUUCUGACUUUAAUGCUUUCUUCACAACCUCUUUAGCACCCUGGGAAGAAAGACGCUAUGAAAAGUAAAUAUACCAUCAUGUACAAUCACAUAAAUAUAAAUAAAGAGC
Long non-coding RNA from Eubalaena glacialis (North Atlantic right whale), 1646 nucleotides. RefSeq lists it as uncharacterized. Lineage: Eukaryota; Metazoa; Chordata; Mammalia; Artiodactyla; Balaenidae. The record is from RefSeq and is a predicted model, not a curated record. The transcript is spliced from 4 exons.